UGGGGAAUAUUGCACAAUGGGCGCAAGCCUGAUGCAGCCAUGCCGCGUGUGUGAAGAAGGCCUUCGGGUUGUAAAGCACUUUCAGCGGGGAGGAAGGCGAUAAGGUUAAUAACCUUGUCGAUUGACGUUACCCGCAGAAGAAGCACCGGCUAACUCCGUGCCAGCAGCCGCGGUAAUACGGAGGGUGCAAGCGUUAAUCGGAAUUACUGGGCGUAAAGCGCACGCAGGCGGUCUGUCAAGUCGGAUGUGAAAUCCCCGGGCUCAACCUGGGAAAUGCAUUCGAAACUGGCAGGGUAGAGUCUUGUAGAGGGGGGUAGAAUUCCAGGUGUAGCGGUGAAAUGCGUAGAGAUCUGGAGGAAUACCGGUGGCGAAGGCGGCCCCCUGGACAAAGACUGACGCUCAGGUGCGAAAGCGUGGGGAGCAAACAGG
RNAcentral lists this ribosomal RNA (429 nucleotides) under Chloroflexota bacterium. RNAcentral describes it as "Chloroflexi bacterium partial 16S ribosomal RNA". It matches the Rfam family "Bacterial small subunit ribosomal RNA", at positions 355 to 776 of the family's 1533-position model. The record is from RNAcentral. Lineage: Bacteria; Bacillati; Chloroflexota.